Molecule: long non-coding RNA, 548 nt
Filed under: Elaeis guineensis (African oil palm)
Lineage: Eukaryota; Viridiplantae; Streptophyta; Magnoliopsida; Arecales; Arecaceae
Description: long non-coding RNA (EGUI_LNC003616)
Source: RNAcentral
UGAGGGGGACAUGCGGGACACGUGGCACGCACCAGUUGGCCCAGGAACACCCGCCGCCAUAACUGCGCUAGGAUCCGUCGGCUAUUUAAACCCCCUAAUCUCCCUUCGUGGCUUCAUCCUGUCGAUAGGACGGUACCUUUCUUUCGCCCGAGAGCCUAGCUACUCAGCUACUUCCCUCGCACCAGUCCUUGCCUUCUUCAGCCCCCCAAUUCUUCUCUGAGGGUUCCCACACCAUGUCCUCUACUCUGGAGGCCAUUCUUGAAGGGAUGUCUAGGGCUUGGAGGAAGGCGAGGAGGAGAACGGCGGCCGGUGAGGAUCUCCAUCGUUUUAAAGGGGGCUCAAGGAAGAAUUCCUUCAACAACAGGGGUUUAAUAACGGGGGCCACCGGUAAAGUUAUUCUGCCCGAGAAUUUCGGAGUAGCAAGGCGGAGUGAUACCGGUCAAGAGGGCAGAGCUGUCGUCACAAGCUGUGGCGGGAUCCUUGAUGCCGUCGGGGCCGAGGGACCAGAAGCGGUCGGCGUCGACGGUGGGGCAGCAAAAUCUGUUGCG